RNAcentral lists this ribosomal RNA (482 nucleotides) under uncultured Sphingobacteriales bacterium. RNAcentral describes it as "bacterial SSU rRNA". It matches the Rfam family "Bacterial small subunit ribosomal RNA", at positions 28 to 505 of the family's 1533-position model. Lineage: Bacteria; Pseudomonadati; Bacteroidota; Sphingobacteriia; Sphingobacteriales. The record is from RNAcentral.
GAUGAACGCUAGCGGCAGGCCUAAUACAUGCAAGUCGAGGGAGAAGUUUUGUGCUUGCACGAGACGGAAACCGGCGAACGGGUGCGUAACACGUAUGCAACCUACCUCUAACAGGGGAAUAGCCCGAAGAAAUUCGGAUUAAUAUCCCAUAAUAUUAUAAUAAGGCAUCUUUUUAUAAUUAAAGUUCCGGCGGUUAGAGAUGGGCAUGCGGUCCAUUAGUUAGUUGGUGAGGUAACGGCUCACCAAGGCCACGAUGGAUAGGGGGUCUGAGAGGAUGAUCCCCCACACUGGUACUGAGACACGGACCAGACUCCUACGGGAGGCAGCAGUAGGGAAUAUUGGACAAUGGGCGAAAGCCUGAUCCAGCCAUGCCGCGUGCAGGAUGACUGCCCUAUGGGUUGUAAACUGCUUUUAUAUGGGAAGAAACACUCCGACGUGUCGGAGCUUGACGGUACCAUACGAAUAAGGAUCGGCUAACUCCG